This is a non-coding RNA of Physcomitrium patens, 2232 nucleotides long. Lineage: Eukaryota; Viridiplantae; Streptophyta; Bryopsida; Funariales; Funariaceae. The record is from RefSeq and is a predicted model, not a curated record.
UGGAUUGUGGUAUUGUUCUCUAUCGAGGAUGGGCAGUGGCGGUGCAUUGAUCCCUUGAUGUGAUUAGUGGGACUCAUCGAACCGCACAUUUCAAGUAAUUUCUGAUCUUUUGUUGUGACGGAAGGAAACAACGGUAACCUUUGGUUUGUUCAUCAUACCCAUCAAAGACCCCUUCUGUGGCGCGUGGUUGGAGCUUAUCCCGCUUGUCUUCGUCGAUGAAGAUGUAAACGUUGCUAUCGAAAAUACGAACGUUAUUGAGUUUAGGCCCUCUCUUAUAUAACAUCUAAAAAGGUAUUUUGUCCGGAUUCAAUCUAGUGGGCGUUUGGUUGAGCAAGAAGGCGGCAGUAUUUACUGCUUUGGUCCAAAAAAAACGUGGCCUUCCGGCUUCCAGGUGCAUGCUGCGUGCCAUCUCCAACAAUUUCUGAUUUGUUUGUUCAACUAUACCGUUCUGUUCGGGAGUGGAAGCAUUCGUUAACUGAUUCCAUAGGUGGAGAACAAUGUUGAGAAUUUGUCCAAUAAAAACUCACCUCUACGAUCGGAUCUGACUGUUGCAAUUUUGGAUUUCAGUUGUAAUUCUAUCAUUGUUUUAAAAUCACAAAAUAAUUGAAAGGCUUGUGAUUUGGUUGGCAAAAACCUGACCCAGAUAAAUCUGCUGAAGUCGUCUAUGAUAGCCAUGAAGUAAAGGGAUCCUCCGAGUGACUUAGUCAGUAGUGGGCUACUUAAAUCGAUAUGAAUUAAUUCCAACAUCAAUGUAGCUUGGGAUUUGCUUCGAUGUGGAAAAAAUCCCAAGGAAAAGCCCAAGAUUGUUUUGCAAGCUGGCAUGUUCUGCAGAUUUUGUCAUUAGUUGGUAUGUAAGGGAUACUUGAGGCGAGUUUAUUGGCUGUGAGUUGGUGAAGUCGCUCGAAAUUAAUAUGUCCUAGCCGCCUGUGCCAGAGGCAAGCUAGUUCUACCGUCGAGGAGGCAAUGUUAGCCUAAAUAUUUGUACUUUGUACUAUUAGUUGAUAUAAUCCGUUGUGUGGAUUGUGUUUCUCUUCGGCCCCGACCUUCUGUAAUUUCUUGCUAAAGAGCACACAUUUCUCAUCAUCAAAACAUGCUAUGCAGCCACGAUCAGCGAUGGACCCUACUGAUAAUAAUUUUUUCUUGAGGCCUGGGACAUACAAAACAUUGUGCACACUCUUUAUUGUCCCAGAAGGCAAUGUGAAGUUUACAGAACCGCAGCCUGUGGUUGAAUGAUUAUGCCUUCCAGCUGUUCUAACGCUUCCUUUAAAAUCAGCUAGUCUGUCGAAGUGUUCGCAAGUUCCACUUGCAUGCUUGGUAGCUCCUAAAUCAAGAUACUAGUCUGAGUCAUUUUCUUGAAUUUCGAGAUCUGAAGUAGCUACCUCAAAGAUAUCUUGGUCGGCAAAGUUGAUGUUGUCAGCUAAGAUUUCCUCAGACUCUGGUAGAUGCCAUGAUGCUUCUUCUGUAACCACAUUCGCAGAUCCGAAUUUGUUAUGUUGUUGGAGCUGCAUACUUCGAUCUGCUUCGAGCUUGCGUAUAUCUGAUGCUCCACAGCCGCUCUUUCUUCACCGCACGGAUUAAGUAGUACUUCCAGACGUUAAAGUUGGAGGAUCCUGUCAAUCUGACUUCCUCCGGGACAGGACUGUUCUUUGGCAUGAUGCUGGAUUGCAAACGUUAGUGUAAAUAGCCGUAUCGGAGAGGAGUACUAGCACAUGAGGUAAGGAAGAGAGGGUGAAGUGGGAUUCAAAGUUUGAAGAGAUGAGAGGGUUGAGGAGUGAGAGAAAGACGCUCACUCUAAUACCACAGAAGUGGAUAUACAGAGAGACCUCGAUACAGGAUGACUUUACAGUCUGGCAGGUGGUUACUAAUCACGGUUAAUCUAGUGGACAGUGGACAGUUACCUGGAGGUGAAAGUGUUCACACACCCACUCCGGAGGAUGAUUCACAAGGAAGCCGAAACCUCAUUCCGUUACGAAGGCGGUGCUCUUCUCGAGCACUGAUGAAGAAAUCUUUGGUAGUUUUGGAUCUGAACAAACUGGGUGUAGGAAUAGCUGGUUGAGUCCUGUCGCGUCGUUGUCCUUUACACCUGCUGGUGAAGAGCAGAUUUUGAGAUGUGAAUUACUUGUUCCUUGCAUCCCACGUUGUUCAUCGAGAGUCCUGUUGAUUUCCCUUACGCAAAUCUUCGCUGUAUUUGUACACUAGUUGCAGCAAAAUUACACAUUUAGCAGUGUUUUA